This 548-nucleotide ribosomal RNA is filed under the name Fusarium neocosmosporiellum. Its description in RNAcentral is "eukaryotic LSU rRNA". It matches the Rfam family "Eukaryotic large subunit ribosomal RNA", at positions 1 to 559 of the family's 3401-position model. Lineage: Eukaryota; Fungi; Ascomycota; Sordariomycetes; Hypocreales; Nectriaceae. The record is from RNAcentral.
UUGACCUCGAAUCAGGUAGGAAUACCCGCUGAACUUAAGCAUAUCAAUAAGCGGAGGAAAAGAAACCAACAGGGAUUGCCUCAGUAACGGCGAGUGAAGCGGCAACAGCUCAAAUUUGAAAUCUGGCUCUCGGGCCCGAGUUGUAAUUUGUAGAGGAUGCUUUUGGUGCGGUGCCUUCCGAGUUCCCUGGAACGGGACGCCAUAGAGGGUGAGAGCCCCGUCUGGUUGGACGCCAAUCCUCUGUAAAGCUCCUUCGACGAGUCGAGUAGUUUGGGAAUGCUGCUCUAAAUGGGAGGUAUAUGUCUUCUAAAGCUAAAUACCGGCCAGAGACCGAUAGCGCACAAGUAGAGUGAUCGAAAGAUGAAAAGAACUUUGAAAAGAGAGUUAAAAAGUACGUGAAAUUGUUGAAAGGGAAGCGCUUGUGACCAGACUUGGGCUUGGUUGAUCAUCCAGGGUUCUCCCUGGUGCACUCUUCCGGCCCAGGCCAGCAUCAGUUCGCCCCGGGGGAAAAAGGCUUCGGGAAUGUGGCUCUCUCCGGGGAGUGUUAU